GUCGCAGUUACGAACUGCACCUGAGCUAAGUCGGUCAUAUUAACAACAAGUGAGGACGCGUGCGCCAGCGCAUGUUUCCGUGUGAAUUGUAAUAUAAUAAAAUAGAUUUUCCUAUAUGUAAAUCGAGGGAACAUUUUUUGUUUUUAAGACAUGAUGUCUUUGUGUUCUUAAAUUAUAGUCCAAGUGUUUUUUUGUUUUGUUGUUAGUAUGAAUUACCGAAUGAUGGUAGUGGUAUUAUGCGCGUCUAUGAUUUUUGCGCAAAAUUGCAAAGUUGGCGGGAAACGGUGCAAUGAUCACGAACAAUGUUGCGGAGGAUGCUGUUUUGACGGCGUGUGCAUAGACACAUACAGAUCCUGUUACUCCACGCUGGACGUGUGCAGGGACCACUCCUGCAUCGGAGAGGAGAACUGUUUUGCCUUCGUCCCGCCACAAUGCGUCGCCUGCGAACCCAUAGCUUUAUGUAGAACUUAGAAUAUCUUGGUCAUCUGUUGUCUUGCUAAAAAUUUUCCAUAGAAAACAAUAGCAUGAUCUCCAUUUAAAUUUUCAUGCCCAUAGCCGAUGAAAUGUGAAGGAUCAGUUUUAUUUCAACACCACAUUGUAUAUAAUAUAAACUCAUGUUAUUUGAAAAUAAAUAUCUUUGCCUUUGAAAACUCAAA
Long non-coding RNA from Plodia interpunctella (Indianmeal moth), 656 nucleotides. RefSeq lists it as uncharacterized. Lineage: Eukaryota; Metazoa; Arthropoda; Insecta; Lepidoptera; Pyralidae. The record is from RefSeq and is a predicted model, not a curated record. The transcript is spliced from 3 exons.